CUGCCUGUAGCUCAGCAGGAUAGAGCAUACGCCUUCUAAGCGUACGGUCGGAGGUUCGAAUCCUCUCGGGCAGGCCA
RNAcentral lists this transfer RNA (77 nucleotides) under compost metagenome. RNAcentral describes it as "tRNA-Arg". It matches the Rfam family "tRNA". Rfam says of the family: Transfer RNA (tRNA) molecules are approximately 80 nucleotides in length. The record is from RNAcentral.